Manacus vitellinus (golden-collared manakin) is the source of this 241-nucleotide long non-coding RNA. RefSeq lists it as uncharacterized. NCBI's taxonomy places the organism in Eukaryota, Metazoa, Chordata, Aves, Passeriformes, Pipridae. The record is from RefSeq and is a predicted model, not a curated record. The transcript has 3 exons.
CUGUGUCAGUCAUCGCUGCCAUCAUCAUCAUCAUCGGCCUCCUGGGAGUCGGUGUCUGGAAGCUCCGAUACGGGAAGAGGGAGGGGAAUGGAUACGACCCCGCGCCCACCACAGGAAUCACGGCCUGAGCAAUCCCGGAGCUGGAUCCACCCCUUCCCUCUCCCUGCGGAAAGGCAGGAGCUGCUGGCAGAGCUCAUCCCGCUGCUCCCACCCACCCCGGCCCCCCUGCGGCUCUUCCCAA